RNAcentral lists this non-coding RNA (30 nucleotides) under Rattus norvegicus (Norway rat). Lineage: Eukaryota; Metazoa; Chordata; Mammalia; Rodentia; Muridae. The record is from RNAcentral.
UGAUGAUAUAUACCUUUGAACUUAUGCCAC